RNAcentral lists this ribosomal RNA (480 nucleotides) under uncultured bacterium. RNAcentral's name for it is "partial 16S ribosomal RNA". It matches the Rfam family "Bacterial small subunit ribosomal RNA", at positions 28 to 507 of the family's 1533-position model. The record is from RNAcentral.
GACGAACGCUGGCGGCGUGCUUAACACAUGCAAGUCGAACGAUGAAGCAAAGAAUUGAAGCUUCGGCAGAAAUUCAUUUCGGAUUAGUGGCAGACGGGUGAGUAACGCGUGAGCAACCUACCUCUUACAAAGGGAUAGCCUCGGGAAACCGGGAUUAAUACCAUAUAACAUUGCGACGAAGCAUUUCGAUGCACUCAAAGCUACGGCGGUAAGAGAUGGGCUCGCGUCCCAUUAACCAGAUGGUGAGGUAACGGCUCACCAUAGUAACGAUGGGUAACCGGCCUGAGAGGGUGAACGGUCACACUGGAACUGAGACACGGUCCAGACUCCUACGGGAGGCAGCAGUGGGGAAUAUUGCACAAUGGAGGGAACUCUGAUGCAGCGACGCCGCGUGAGUGAUGAAGGAAUUCGUUUCGUAAAACUCUGUUCUAUGGGAAGAAAAGGACUGUACCAUAGGAGAAAGCUCCGGCUAAAUACGUG